UCCGCGCUAGCGAUAGCUAAUUUCCCCGGAAAGAUAUAAAAGUGUCGAGGAAAAGUUUAAUUUAUAAUAUUAAUUAUUAUAUAUGUGCUCCUUUUUUAUUAAUUUUUUUGAGGAUAAGCUCAAAAAAAAGUUAAGAUAUUUUCAGUUAAAAUUACUAUGUGGGCUUAAAAUUGGCCACCCAUAAAAGUUUGUUAUAAAAUAGUAACCUUAAUUUAAAAAAUAAAUAUAUUUUAAUCUAAGUCCUUACGGGGGUAAGAACUCUAACUAAAAUUAAGUUUUAUACCUAUGCUAGAAUGAGUAUUAAAACUUAAUUACAAAAGAAAUACUAUUUUAUUUUCUUCUAAAAAUUUUUUAGGAAAAAAUUAAUUAAUUAGAAGGAAUUCGGCAAGUUUAGUUGCUUCGCCUGUUUAUCAAAAACAUGGCUCUUUGCUUACACAAGUAUAGAGAGUCGAGCCUGCCCAGUGAAUUUUUUUAACGGCCGCGGUACUCUGACCGUGCAAAGGUAGCAUAAUCAUUUGCCUUAUAAUUGAAGGCUAGUAUGAAUGGUUUGACGAGAGCAACACUGUCUCCUUUUUAUUUUCAAGAACUUAACUUUUAGGUGAAGAGGCCUAAAUUCUAUUGAAGGACAAGAAGACCCUGUCGAGCUUAAAAGACAUCAUAGGAGUCCAAUAUAUUUUUAAAUAAAUUUUCUAUUAAGCUUUUUAGUUGGGGCGACUAAGGAACAAAAAAAGCUUCUUUCUAAUAAUAAACAAUCAUGUUUAGAUCCGAUAAUAGCGACUAAAGGAAUUAGUUACCGCAGGGAUAACAGCAUAAUCUCUCUUAAGAGACCUAAUCGAAAGAGGGGGUUGUGACCUCGAUGUUGGACUAGAAUAUCCUAAAGAUGCAGAAGUCUUUAAGG
RNAcentral lists this ribosomal RNA (898 nucleotides) under Semisulcospira reiniana. RNAcentral describes it as "partial 16S ribosomal RNA". It matches the Rfam family "Bacterial large subunit ribosomal RNA", at positions 1406 to 2570 of the family's 2925-position model. Lineage: Eukaryota; Metazoa; Mollusca; Gastropoda; Semisulcospiridae. The record is from RNAcentral.